UACGUAGGGUGCAAGCGUUGUCCGGAUUUAUUGGGCGUAAAGAGCUCGUAGGCGGUUUGUCGCGUCGGGUGUGAAAACUUGCGGCUUAACCGCAAGCCUGCACCCGAUACGGGCGGGCUAGAGUUCGGCAGGGGAGACUGGAAUUCCUGGUGUAGCGGUGGAAUGCGCAGAUAUCAGGAGGAACACCGGUGGCGAAGGCGGGUCUCUGGGCCGAUACUGACGCUGAGAAGCGAAAGCGUGGGGAGCGAACAGG
RNAcentral lists this ribosomal RNA (253 nucleotides) under uncultured bacterium. RNAcentral's name for it is "partial 16S ribosomal RNA". It matches the Rfam family "Bacterial small subunit ribosomal RNA", at positions 524 to 776 of the family's 1533-position model. The record is from RNAcentral.